UGAAAUUCUACUUAAACUAUUCCUUG
RNAcentral lists this transfer RNA (26 nucleotides) under Hapalemur aureus (golden bamboo lemur). Its description in RNAcentral is "partial tRNA-Pro". Lineage: Eukaryota; Metazoa; Chordata; Mammalia; Primates; Lemuridae. The record is from RNAcentral.